RNAcentral lists this ribosomal RNA (468 nucleotides) under uncultured bacterium. Its description in RNAcentral is "partial 16S ribosomal RNA". It matches the Rfam family "Bacterial small subunit ribosomal RNA", at positions 28 to 507 of the family's 1533-position model. The record is from RNAcentral.
GACGAACGCUGGCGGCGUGCUUAACACAUGCAAGUCGAACGGAAAGGCCCUGCUUUUGUGGGGUGCUCGAGUGGCGAACGGGUGAGUAACACGUGAGUAACCUGCCCUUGACUUUGGGAUAACUUCAGGAAACUGGGGCUAAUACCGGAUAGGAGCUCCUGCUGCAUGGUGGGGGUUGGAAAGUUUCGGCGGUUGGGGAUGGACUCGCGGCUUAUCAGCUUGUGGGUGGGGUAGUGGCUUACCAAGGCUUUGACGGGUAGCCGGCCUGAGAGGGUGACCGGCCACAUUGGGACUGAGGUACGGCCCAGACUCCUACGGGAGGCAGCAGUGGGGAAUAUUGCACAAUGGGCGGACGCCUGAUGCAGCAACGCCGCGUGCGGGAUGACGGCCUUCGGGUUGUAAACCGCUUUCGCCUGUGACGAAGCGUGAGUGACGGUAAUGGGUAAAGAAGCACCGGCUAACUACGUG